UACGCAGGGGGCUAGCGUUGUUCGGAAUUACUGGGCGUAAAGCGCGCGCAGGCGGUCUUCCAAGUCAGUGGUGAAAGCCCGGAGCUCAACUCCGGAACUGCCAUUGAAACUGUUAGACUUGAGGACGAGAGAGGUGAGUGGAAUUCCCAGUGUAGAGGUGAAAUUCGUAGAUAUUGGGAAGAACACCGGUGGCGAAGGCGGCUCACUGGCUCGUAUCUGACGCUCAGGCGCGAUAGCGUGGGGAUCAAACAGG
This 253-nucleotide ribosomal RNA is filed under the name uncultured bacterium. RNAcentral's name for it is "partial 16S ribosomal RNA". It matches the Rfam family "Bacterial small subunit ribosomal RNA", at positions 524 to 776 of the family's 1533-position model. The record is from RNAcentral.